CCUACGGGAGGCAGCAGUGAGGAAUAUUUGUCAAUGGGCGCGAGCCUGAACCAGCCAAGUAGCGUGAAGGAUGACUGCCCUACGGGUUGUAAACUUCUGUUAUGAAGGAAUAAAGUGAGGCACGAGUGCCUUUUUGGAUGUACUUGAUGAAUAAGGAUCGGCUAACUCCGUGCCAGCAGCCGCGGUAAUACGGAGGAUCCGAGCGUUAUCCGGAUUUAUUGGGUUUAAGGGGAGCGUAGAUGGGUUGUUAAGUCAGUUGUGAAAGUUUGCGGCUCAACCGUAAAACUGCAAUUGAUACUGGCAGCCUUGAGUACAGUUGAGGUAGGCGGAAUUCGCGGUGUAGCAGUGAAAUGCUUAGAUAUCACGAAGAACUCCGAUUGCGAAGGCAGCCUCCUAAACUGCCACUGACAUUGAUGCUCGAAAGUGUGGGUAUCAAACAGGAUUAGAUACCCCUGUAGUC
This 460-nucleotide ribosomal RNA is filed under the name uncultured bacterium. RNAcentral describes it as "partial 16S ribosomal RNA". It matches the Rfam family "Bacterial small subunit ribosomal RNA", at positions 338 to 795 of the family's 1533-position model. The record is from RNAcentral.